This 346-nucleotide ribosomal RNA is filed under the name uncultured bacterium. RNAcentral describes it as "partial 16S ribosomal RNA". It matches the Rfam family "Bacterial small subunit ribosomal RNA", at positions 338 to 682 of the family's 1533-position model. The record is from RNAcentral.
CCUACGGGUGGCAGCAGUGAGGAAUAUUGGUCAAUGGCCGGAAGGCUGAACCAGCCAAGCCGCGUGAAGGACGAAGGUGCCAAGCAUUGUAAACUUCUUUUGUCAAGGGACAAAAUCAGGCGCGAGAGCCUGACCGAGGGUACUUGAAGAAAAAGCAUCGGCUAACUCCGUGCCAGCAGCCGCGGUAAUACGGAGGAUGCGAGCGUUAUCCGGAUUUAUUGGGUUUAAAGGUGGCGUAGGCGGUCUGUUAAGGCAGCGGUAAAAGCCCGGGGCUCAACCCCGGCGAGCCGUUGAAACUGGCUGUCUUGCUCUGUCGUGCGGUAUGCGGAAUGCGCAGUGUAGCUGU